AAUUGGUUUGGGUGCUGCUAGGGGCCUUGCUUGGUUACAUCAUGGUGUUCACCCACCUAUCUUGCACCAAAACAUAUGUUCUAAUGUUAUUUUCCUCGAUGAAGACUUUGAUGCUAGAGUAAUGGAUUUUGGGCUGGCAAGAUUGAUGACGUCAGAUGCAAAAGAGUCUAGUUAUGUGAAUGGGGAGUUGGGUGAAUUUGGCUAUGUAGCUCCAGAAUACUCUAGCACAAUGGUGCCUUCACUGAAAGGGGAUGCUUAUAGUUUUGGGGUAGUGCUUUUGGAGUUGGCUACUGGACAAAAACCUCUUGAAGUUACUGCUGGUGAAGAGGGAUUCAAGGGUAAUUUGGUAGACUGGAUGAAUCAGCUCUCUGCUUCGGGUCGCAUUAAAGAUGCAAUUGACCAGAACAUGCGUGGGAAGGGGCAUGAUGAAGAGAUUGUGCAGUUCCUAAAAGUUGCUUGUAAUUCUGUGGUUUCUCGGCCCAAUGAUAGGUGGUCUAUGUAUCAGGUUUAUGAAGCACUUAAGAGCAUGGCUGAAAAACAGGGUUUCUCUGAACAGUAUGACGAAUUCCCGUUACUAUUUGGCAAAGAAGGUACUAUUAGAAGCCCUGUUUGAAGCCGGAAUUGCGAAAUUAUUACUAAAUGUUCACUCCAAAUGAACAUGAUGCAUCCUGUUGUAAGUUUUCAGUUCCUAUUGGUGUAAGUGGCAUGGCACUGUUUUGAUUGGCUCAGAAGUACACCCUUUAAAUAUUUCUGUAUUAUAUUUGCAAAAUGCACAAAUCAUUCUCAAGUAUUUGCUUGCUUGAUAUUUGUAGUAUAGGAAGCUGAUAAUUAUUGUUCAUGUUUGUGAUUACCGUUGCCUAUAGCAUUAGAUGUUAUGUAUUCAAAGGAUUCUCAACUGAACGUCUCUUUUAAUGGAAA
Molecule: unclassified non-coding RNA, 918 nt
Filed under: Hevea brasiliensis (rubber tree)
Lineage: Eukaryota; Viridiplantae; Streptophyta; Magnoliopsida; Malpighiales; Euphorbiaceae
Source: RNAcentral